Long non-coding RNA from Cyprinus carpio carpio, 1428 nucleotides. The record is from Ensembl. Lineage: Eukaryota; Metazoa; Chordata; Actinopteri; Cypriniformes; Cyprinidae.
AUGGUAUUGGAAAAAUGUAACAGCAACGGUCUUCUACUGCUGCAAACAUGCUCUGAAUUUGACCUACUCAUCACCAACACGAUAUUCCAACUACCAAAGCGUAAGAAGACUUCAUGGAUGCAUCCUCGUUCACACCACUGGCACUUGAUUGACUACGUCAUCGUGAGGAGGAGUGACCGGCACGAUGUCAGGGUGACUAAGGCUAUGUGUGGUGCUGAAUGUUGGACUGACCAUCGUCUCAUUAUUUCCAAACUUAACAUUCGGAUUAAGCCUAGCAGACGCCCACAAGGACAAAGAUGUGUCAAGCGUCUUAACAUCACUCGCCUACAACAGGAACACACCAGGCUGGCAUUUGUUGAGGCUUUAGACCAUCACCUGGAGUCUCUAAGCUUCGAGCAUACAGACGUUGAGGCAGACUGGACUGCUCUCAAGACCGUGCUGCAUUCUACAGCCCUUGAAUCACUUGGUGUUCCAUUACGUACACAUCAAGAUUGGUUUGAUGAGAACGAUGCAGAAAUCCGAGUACUCCUUGACGAAAAACAUCGCCUGCAUAAAGCAUAUCUGAAUGACAGCAGCUCAAGUUUAAAGAAAGUUGCCUUUCUCAACAUUCGAAGGAUUGUUCAGCAGAGACUCAGAGUCAUGCAAGAUGCCUGGCUGUGCGCAAAAGCUGUGGAGAUUCAAUCCUACGCUGACAGUAACAACACCAAGUGCCUCUAUAAUGCACUCAAGCAGGUCUAUGGUCCGCAACACUCAGGAACUUCAGCUCUUCUGAACUUAGAUGGAACAACACUCCUUACGGAGAAGGACAAAAUACUUGAAAGGUGGGUCAAACACUACAGCGCGGUCCUCAAUCGGCCAUCAUGCAUAAAUGAGGAGGCAAUUGCGAGAUUGCCUCAAGUUGAAAUAAACCAGUCCUUGGCUUUUCUACCAUCCAUUGAGGAAAUCAGCAAAGCCAUAACACUUCUCUCAUCAGGCAAAGCUCCAGGGUCCGAUGCCAUUCCAGCAGAAAUUUACAAGGCUGGAGGGCCUCGCUUAGUCGAGAAACUGACCGACGUCUUCCAGGCUAUGUGGAAAUUAGAAGCCGUUCCCAAGGAGUUUAAGGAUACUAUUAUAAUCAAUCUAUAUAAAAGGAAAGGCAAACGGCAGGACUGCGACAACCAUAGAGGCAUCUCCAUACUAUCAGUCGCUGGCAAAAUCUUGGCAAGAAUUCUUCUGAACCGCCUAAUUGUCCAUCUAGACCAGGGUCUGCUACCUGAGAGUCAGUGUGGUUUCAGAAAAGACCGCGGAACCACUGACAUGGUAUUUACUGCUCGGCAGUUACAGGAGAAAUGCCAAGAACAAAAUGUUGAUCUAUAUAUGGCUUUCGUUGAUCUAACAAAAGCAUUCGACACAGUCAGCCGGGAGGGCCUAUGGAAAAAUCAUGGCUAA